AUGGCGCCGCUCACCGGAGCCGCCAUCGCCUCCUACAGCAUCCUGCUCCUCAUGCUCGUCCCCUGGGCCCAGGGCCAGGGGCAACCACCCGAGGCGUCGGAGGAGGCUUGGGCCGAGGGGCAACCACCCGAGGCGUCGGAGGAGGCUCUUACGAUGCUCUUGUCGGAGAGCGGGUGCGGCGCCUUCGCCGGCCUCGUCACCGCCACGGCCGGCGUGGGCGAGGCGUUCCGCGAGCAGAGCGGCAGCGACCUGGGGCUCACGAUCUUCUGCCCGGACGACGAGGCGGUGGCGGCGUUCAUCCCGAGGUUCAACGGCCUCACCGCCGACGGCCAGGUCGUGCUUGUUCUGUACCACGGACUGACGAUGGCCUACUCCGUGGAGAUGCUCAGGAGCGACGGGCGGGUGUUCACGCUUGAUGGGGGGCAGAUGGUCCCCAUCCGUGAGCACAGAGGCACGCUGACACUUUUUUCGUGGCCGCCGCCGUCACGGAACGAGGCCAUCUCGUUGUCUACCUCAUCGACGCCGUGCUGA
Molecule: ribosomal RNA, 531 nt
Filed under: Triticum aestivum (bread wheat)
Lineage: Eukaryota; Viridiplantae; Streptophyta; Magnoliopsida; Poales; Poaceae
Description: partial small subunit ribosomal RNA
Source: RNAcentral